CCUACGGGAGGCAGCAGUGAGGAAUAUUGGUCAAUGGCCGGAAGGCUGAACCAGCCAAGCCGCGUGAAGGACGAAGGUGCCAAGCAUUGUAAACUUCUUUUGUCAAGGGACAAAAUCAGGCUCGAGAGCCUGACCGAGGGUACUUGAAGAAAAAGCAUCGGCUAACUCCGUGCCAGCAGCCGCGGUAAUACGGAGGAUGCGAGCGUUAUCCGGAUUUAUUGGGUUUAAAGGGUGCGUAGGCGGACUGUUAAGUCAGCGGUAAAAGCCCGGGGCUCAACCCCUAGAGUGCAAGUGAUACUGUAUAACUUGAGUGUGAGAGGGGGAAGCGGAAUUCCUAGUGUAGCGGUGAAAUGCGUAGAUAUUAGGAGGAACACCAGUGGCGAAGGCGGUCUGCUGGACAGCAACUGACGGUGAGGCGCGAAAGCGUGGGGAGCAAACAGGAUUAGAUACCCUAGUAGUC
This 460-nucleotide ribosomal RNA is filed under the name uncultured bacterium. RNAcentral's name for it is "partial 16S ribosomal RNA". It matches the Rfam family "Bacterial small subunit ribosomal RNA", at positions 338 to 795 of the family's 1533-position model. The record is from RNAcentral.